This 253-nucleotide ribosomal RNA is filed under the name uncultured bacterium. RNAcentral describes it as "partial 16S ribosomal RNA". It matches the Rfam family "Bacterial small subunit ribosomal RNA", at positions 524 to 776 of the family's 1533-position model. The record is from RNAcentral.
UACGUAGGGGGCUAGCGUUGUCCGGAAUCAUUGGGCGUAAAGCGCGUGUAGGCGGUUCGGUAAGUCCGCUGUGAAAGUCGAGGGCUCAACCCUCGAAAGCCGGUGGAUACUGUCGGGCUAGAGUGCGGAAGAGGCGAGUGGAAUUCCUGGUGUAGCGGUGAAAUGCGUAGAUAUCAGGAGGAACACCUGUGGUGUAGACGGCUUUCUGGACCAUCACUGACGCUGAGACACGAAAGCGUGGGGAGCAAACAGG